ACGGUGCGGCGUCCCGUCCUGCGGCGGCUCGCCUCGGAGCUGGGCUCGACGUGUGCCGCCGGCUGUCGGGCUGGUCCCGCUGGGACAGCGAGGAGUGCGCGGCCUCCCCCGGGCAGGUGUCUGACAGUCCCCGCGGCCGUGCGGUGUCCGCUCCGCUCCGGAUCAAGGAGGAUCCUCGGGACUGCGCCCCGGAGUGCCCGCUGUCGUGCGGCUGGAGUUUGGGAAGGCGGCGGUGGGUAGGGCGUGCGCUGCCAGCGCACCCACAGGAGCGCCUGAAGCAGAGCCCGAGUGUUUACUUAAAACCAGAACUAGCCGUGUUCCCUUCGCUGUGUAUGUCUCCGGGCAGAGAAACCCAAGCGGACUCGUGUGCAGGACUAUGGAUCCGCUCAUAUCUUUAUGGUUAUGGCAAAACCUUUCAUCAUCAGCCGAUGGUAUAAUGGACUACCAGUUGGAUGAUACACAGUCGUCUGAAACAUGAUAUAUACUUCUCCUCAUCCGUGUCCAUGGGUGAGUGGAGGGAGCAGCUUUCUUCCAGGAGAGUGUUUUACUGGAAGAGGGGGAAGAUCUUCAUGGUUAAAAGUCUGUCAGAGCUGUGUUACAAGUGCUGGGUUGGCAUGCAGCAAUGUACAUGGCCCAUAUGCUGACACAGUACCAGUUUUGUUUCCAAAAGUGGAGUUCACAGAAUUACAGUGUCUGAUCCAACUAGCUGCUCUGAUGAUCCUCACUGGACCAUGUGUCAGUGGCACAACUGUUCCAUUGCAGAAAAUUUUAUAAUGGAUGCUGAAUUUCAGGAUACCUGAAAAUACCUGCGCAGUUUUGAUGUGGAAGGAAAACAAUAAAGAAAGUGUCUAAAAUGAUAUGGUUAGCUUC
Long non-coding RNA from Parus major (Great Tit), 870 nucleotides. The record is from Ensembl. Lineage: Eukaryota; Metazoa; Chordata; Aves; Passeriformes; Paridae.